CAACUCUGUUCUUAUGUCUGUGGUGGUGACCUGUGAGCAGCGGUCUUUGCCACAAGUGGAAUUGUUUGGGGGCACCAUGAACUGCACCCAGAUAAGACUAUGAACUCUGUCCUGUGUUCUGACUGCUCCACUGACCAUCUCCCUGUCGCCGUCCCCCUUGGCCUCCCUGUGCCCUGAGACACAACUGUGUUGAAGUUAGGCCAGUAGCAGCCCAACAGCGGCCUCGGAGUGUCCCAGGGAAAGGAAGAGCUGCACACCUCUCACUUUGAAUCAGAAGCUGGAAUGAUGGCACCGUGGAGGAGGCCAGCAGCCAGGCCUCCAGCCGAUAGCCACGCUGUGAAUGCGGAAGAAGUCCUGGGGAAGGACAUGGCACGCGCUGCCCAGUGAAGGAGCGAGGGAUAAGAGAGCGCAGCAGCUGCUGGUGCCGAGACUCACGGGCCUGGACAGGAGGGAAGCCAGUCACAGCCCAUCCUCAAGCCAGAGCCUCGUCCAGGGCAGGGUCCUGGGCCAGCUGAGGCUCAGUGGCAGGGCAUGUGCCCAGCGUGCCCCUGGUGCUCACAGCAGAGAGAAGUCAGUGCCAGGCUCCAAAGCCGGGCGGGUGUCUCUCCUGUCAGGCGCCUGCACAGUGGUGACAUCAGGUUGAAGCCAGUGCUGGCCCACCACUGUGACGAUCCUGGCCUGUCUGCUCUGCCCGAGUUCUGAAUGGACCACAGAGCCCUGAUGGCGCACAGCUGUACCCUGGGGGCCCUGACUGCUGGGCUGCUGCUCAGAAAAGGUCUCUUCCUGAGCCUCGUUGCUCCUGGACAGCCUGCCUGGUCACCUGGAGGCUGGAUGGAGAUGGGCAGCGAGGUCCAUGUGGGCUUCAUGCC
RNAcentral lists this long non-coding RNA (869 nucleotides) under Marmota monax (woodchuck). The record is from RNAcentral. Lineage: Eukaryota; Metazoa; Chordata; Mammalia; Rodentia; Sciuridae.